This is an RNA transcript of Brassica napus (rape), 3687 nucleotides long. RefSeq lists it as uncharacterized. The record is from RefSeq and is a predicted model, not a curated record. The transcript is spliced from 7 exons. NCBI's taxonomy places the organism in Eukaryota, Viridiplantae, Streptophyta, Magnoliopsida, Brassicales, Brassicaceae.
UAUUUAAUAGAUUUUUGAAAUUUAAAUCUUUUUGAAGCAUAAUGAAAAGUUUUGAUAUUCGCUAUCGACUGAUUAUUGCAAGUGUGGCGUGACGACGAUUUGCUUUACCGACACUGUAAAUUUGGUUCUUAUUGGAAGUGACACGACAAGCAGAGAGAUCGUAUAGCUUCGACAAGUCAUUCUCGAAAUUUAUAAAACACUCUCUUUUUCAGAAUUUUAGAAACGUUAAAGCUUAUAAACAAGUAAAAUAAUUGAUUUGUCAGAUAUUGUGGAGUCCACACAAUGCGAUAGUGGCCACGUGAAAAUGUAAGACCAUGAUUAUCGCUGCAGCUUAAGUGGGUUUUUUUUUAAAAUAACUUAUUUAAAUAAAUCAAAACAAAAUAAAGAGGGGAUUAUCGAUCCUUAAAUAGGGAUUUUGGAAACCGAUCUUUAACUUGAUUUCCAACCACGUGUCCGCUCGACAUCUCCUCCGAUUCUCCGCCUCCAACCUUCCUCGUCGUAGUCUGCGGACCUUCCUCUCUCACCCAGCGGUUGAACACCACCAUAGACGAUGGAGACUUCUCGGAAGAAGAGUUCGUCGGGGCUACUCUCGCGCUCCUCUGAUUCCGCGGCGGGAGCUGAGGAGGAGACGGUGGAGGAAGAGGCGGGAACUUGCAUCUUGGUCUUGUACACGGCAUCUUCGCCAGGUAUGAUAUGCCUUUGCAUCUUGGUUUUUGUAUUAUAGAUGGAGUGGAUGCCAAGAUGAAAGAUGGAAUCUUGAAGAUGAUUGUGUCAAGGGUCAAGGUGAAGGACCAUGACAAUUGUACCAACACUCUGCCUCCCAACAGAGGUAAUUCUGCAAUUGACAUGGUUGAAGUGGAGGAUCAUCCGUUUGUGGUGAAAGGUCGCAAGGGAACGUUCACUUCAGCACGAACAUCUGAUGGAUGUUAUCACCUUUCAGUGGAUCUGCCAGGUGUUUCUAGCGAUGACAUAUUCGUGCUACCAAAUGAGAAUGAAUUAAAGUUCAUUGCUGAGAACAAGAGUGUGUACGAGCACGACGAGAGUUGCCGUAUUUUCUAUUGGAGCCUUUAACAAGCGUACAUGUUGUUCCCAUGGGAUUCCACUUCUUGACCACAAGAUCGCUUGGGAUGCUGAGUUUGGUGUUCUCGAAGUCCGUGUUUCACCUCCUCUCAACAACAAUGAUCAGUAAUCAUCACUCUUAUGAGAUCUAUGAUUGAAAUAUGUAUCCUAUGUCUCUUGCGUCUCGUUAUGGUGUCUAAGCUAUAGCUAAGCAGCAGUGUCACAAGCCACUGAUGGUGCUGCUCUCUCUAACUCUGGGAACUCACAUCUUCCGCGAGGUAGCCUUGCUGGGCUCGAGCAGAUGAAUUUCAUUACCUUGGCAACACCUCAUCUAGGAGUGAGAGGCAGAAAGCAGGUUCUAUCCAUUUCCUUUUAUAAUAAUUGGAACUCAUCAAUUGUUUAGUAUGAUGUUAAAACGGUAGUUCUUUGGUCCCUCCCAUUUUUGGAAUUAUGAGACUAUAGAGGAAAUUGUAGUGUCCACUCUAGCUCAACCCCCAUAGCGAUUUCUGAGUAAAAAGAAAACAAAAUUUUCUCUGAGGCUAAGAUCUCGCUAAAAUAAAAUCAAAAUGGAACAAUUGUUUGUAGAGAUUCACUAGAGAUGUUUUUGGCAGUUCAUAUAAUUUUAAUAUUUUUUUUAAGAAACCUUAAUUAAGAAACUUCCAUUGGCCCAUUCAAAAUGGAAGUUUCUUAACUAAAGUUUUUAAGUUACUUUUAUUAAUUAAAAAAUCAUUAAGAAACCCAUUAGGGGUGAUAGGGAUAAUCAUGCUCUAAGUAAACCAAGUGACGUUGUAAAUGGAUGGAUCUAUUAUUGUAUUUAUCGUACCGGAAAAAGAGUGUGUAUAAAACGUGAAAUUUGAUAUUUUCCCUGCUCUGUUUAGCAACAGCCCAUUUACGGGAAAAAGAAAACAACCCAUUUACAGGAUUUACGCAAAAUAAACUCAUGUUACUUCGAUCCGGGUAUUUAUAAUUUUUUUUAACGUCUGAUUAAUUAUGCUAUUACAGCCGAUAAUUCUACCACCAUACUAGAAUACACGUCUAACUGCGUUACUCCGAGCCGUCCUAUGAGAUACAUGUUCGAUGAUAUGCCUUGCACCAUUCUGAAGACCUCUUGUAAUCUUUUUUCUCCAUAAUAUGCAUGAUUUGCAUUUUCUCGGGUUUGAACCCUAGACCUCCGGGUGUAGAAGCAUUAAUGAACCCUUAGUCAAACCACUAGACUAAGGGGGCUUCCACAAAUAUAAUUUUAUUUUAAUAUGUAAUAUUUACAAAAUGAAAUAAAUUGUAAAUAAUUAUUUUUUUAAAACAAAUAUCCAUUUCGAUCUCUUAUAUACAUAUAUAUAAUAUUUAAAUAAUUAUAUACCACAAGAUUCUUUGUGAAAAAUUAUAUACCACAAGAUCUCUUUCGGGGAAAAUGAUAAAAUGAUAAUGAGGUUUAAAAUAGGGUAAUUCUCCAUAAUAGAUUUUUUUGAGUUUUCAUCUCAAAAAUAGCACAGGAAAGGAAAAAUCACAAAAAUAACAUUCAUUAAUGGACAAAAUAUCCUUAAUAUCCGACGACGGGCCGCCAACGAGAUUCAAUCAACUUCGGCGACGACACGACGAACACUUUCAUCAUCUAUCAUCUCCGACGAACGACAAGGAAGACGAAGAGAUUCGUGUCUCUGCCUUCGCCUUCUUCUCUCGACGACGAAAUCUCUCGACUUUUUGCGAAUCGUUGCUUCUUCUCUCGACGACGAUGGAGACAAUCCCGGAGAAUCUACCACCGUUAUCUUCUCCGGCGAAAACACGAAGCUACCAUCUCAAAUCAAAAGGCUUCAUUUUGGGAACACAAGGAAGGAUCUACAAACAAGUAUCGAAGUUUAAACCAUCUACAAAAAAUCUCGUGACCAUCUACAAAAUUUGACUGACACGAAUCCAUUGGAUGAGACGGCUUCCAGACACAGUGAAGCCAAUCCGGAUCAAGCAGAUGAAACUCCAGAGCCUACGACUGAGAUCAUUUCACCAAACGUUUCGGAGACACGGCCCCUUACUCGAGCUCGCAUAAAUCUUUUAAGAGAGCAAAAGAAGACUGACACGACUCCAUUAGAUGAGACGGCUUCCAGACACAGUGAAGCCAAUCCGGAUCAAGCAGAUGAAACUCCAGAGCCUACGACUGAGAUCAUAUUACCAAAUGUUUCGCUCUUGAAUCUCUCUUGUUUAACACCCUCACUUCCUUUUUGGUAUUUGACAGUGUUGAUUCCUGCCCUCUUGUCGGAACAUAUUGGUGAAGAGAUUAAUUUCAAGAAAAUCGUUCCAUUUCAAGUUGAGGAAGCAGAAGGUUUACUAAAGACAAAAUUUCAUUUCAAAUGUGGCCUCUUUGUUGUCAAGAUGCUGGAAUGCAGGUCAUGGAGAUUGAAAGACAUGUCCAAUAUAAAUGAUGACACUGCGAUGGACUUAAAGAGCAAGUUAUAUUGUGAGAUAUUUGACCAGUUUAUGGAUAAAGAUUUUCAGGAAGUUUACAGAAAGUGAACAUGUCACACUUUUAGACUUUAGACUGUUGUCGAAUUUUGUUUGCUAUUAUGUAUGGAAUGUUUAGUUGGACAAGUAUGGAAUGUUCUAAUAAGUUUGUAAUGAAUUAUGAAGACUUUUUUUUCA